RNAcentral lists this ribosomal RNA (460 nucleotides) under uncultured bacterium. RNAcentral describes it as "partial 16S ribosomal RNA". It matches the Rfam family "Bacterial small subunit ribosomal RNA", at positions 338 to 795 of the family's 1533-position model. The record is from RNAcentral.
CCUACGGGGGGCAGCAGUAAGGAAUCUUGGUCAAUGGGCGCGAGCCUGAACCAGCCAAGUAGCGUGAAGGAUGACUGCCCUACGGGUGGUAAACUUCUUUUAUAAAGAAAUAAGGUGGGGCACGUGUGCCUUUUUGAUUGUACUUUAUGAAUAAAGAUCGUCUAACUCCGUGCCAGCAGCCGCGGUAAUACGGAGGAUCCGAGCGUUAUCCGGAUUUAUUGGGUUUAAAGGGAGCGUAGAUGGGUUGUUAAGUCAGUUGUGAAAGUUUGCGGCUCAACCGUAAAAUUGCAAUUGAUACUGGCAGUCUUGAGUACAGUUGAGGUAGGCGGAAUUCGUGGUGUAGCGGUGAAAUGCUUAGAUAUCACGAAGAACUCCGAUUGCGAAGGCAGCUUACUAAACUGCCACUGACAUUGAUGCUCGAAAGUGUGGGUAUCAAACAGGAUUAGAUACCCUUGUAGUC